This 490-nucleotide ribosomal RNA is filed under the name uncultured bacterium. RNAcentral's name for it is "partial 16S ribosomal RNA". It matches the Rfam family "Bacterial small subunit ribosomal RNA", at positions 28 to 507 of the family's 1533-position model. The record is from RNAcentral.
GAUGAACGCUAGCUACAGGCUUAACACAUGCAAGUCGAGGGGCAGCAUGGUCUUAGCUUGCUAAGACCGAUGGCGACCGGCGCACGGGUGAGUAACACGUAUCCAACCUGCCGUCUACUCUUGGACAGCCUUCUGAAAUGAAGAUUAAUACAAGAUGGCCUCAUGAGUUCACAUGUUCACAUUAUUAACGGUAUUCCGUUAGACGAUGGGGAUGCGUUCUAUUAGAUAGUAGGCGGAGUAACGGCCCACCUAGUCUUCGAUGGAUAGGGGUUCUGAGAGGAAGCUACACCACAAUUGAACUGAGACACAGUCCAAAAUCCUACGCGAGGCAGGAGUGAGGAAUACUGGUCGAGGGGCGAGAGUCCGAACCAGCCAAGUAGGGUGAAGGAGGACUGGGGUAUGGGUUGUAAACUUCUGUUAUAAAAGAACAAAGUCGGGUAUGUCUACUCGUUUGCAUGUACUUUAUGAAUAAGGAUCGGCUAACUCCGUG